UGAGCCUCCGGCUGGCUUGUCUGGAGUCUGCAUCAGAGACAGGAAGAUAUCUCUACUUGCUGUUAAUAAACUGCAGGAUUGUAGGAGUUGGCUGUGGAGGACUGGGAUGUCCAAGAUUAGUUUGCAUGAACUACAAGCCUAGCCAUCUUCAAUUUCACACCUUAGGGCUAUUAAGGAGUUCACCAAGGAAGGAUCUAGAUAGGUCUUCAGAAUUUAGAGAACUGCAAAGGGAAUGAGGAGGGAAGCAAAAUGAUGGAUCUCACACAAUGAAUUUCAGCAUGUCAAAAAACAAUUAAAGGAUGGCAAGAGGAGUUAUCUUGGGAAAGGAUUUUCAAUUUAUGGCAAUGUCAAAGCGCAUGUUGUUGAGGUUCCCCUGAUAAAAGUGGGAUCUCAUUCUGCCAGGACUGGAUUGGUUACACAAAAGCAGAGCUGGGCAAAUGUUUAUGGAAGAAUUGUUUAAUCUUUGUAAAUGCAGUUUUGGAUGAAUCCACAUCUCCUGAGUAUCAUCUCCCAGAUAACUUCAUGGAGUAUAGGUCCAUCAAUGGCUAUUAGCCAAGAUGGUCAAGGACACAACCUCAUGCUCUGGGUAUCCCUAAACCUGAGACUGGAUGACAAAGGAAGGAUCAAUUGAUAAACUGCCCUGUUCUGAAGUAUCUGGCACCAGUCACUGUCAGAUGACAGGAUACCGCUGUUCUCAUCCAAUAUGGCCAUUUUUGUUUCACACAUUUGUAAGUUUAAAGCGGUCUGCAUUAACCCAUACAGCAGUAAUUCUAUCACCAACAAUAUUUUGUCAUCUUUGUUUAAGCAGACUGAAAAACAUAAAAGAAUCUUCUAAAUAAAUUCUUUAAAUACUGCAGACAAUGC
Molecule: long non-coding RNA, 864 nt
Organism: Mauremys reevesii (Reeves's turtle)
Lineage: Eukaryota; Metazoa; Chordata; Testudines; Geoemydidae
Exons: 4
Source: RefSeq, a predicted model, not a curated record